AUGAACGGUGGCGUGGGUGGUAGCAACACAAACCCAGGUGUGCUUGAUAGAGGUGAUGAUGACUCGUGGAAACGGAUAUGGAAACUCCCUUGCCCAAAAACUAUUCAGAUGUUCACUUGGCGCGUCAAGCAUGAUUCUCUUGCUCUCAGGAUGAAUGUGGCUCGGCGAGGCAUCCCUAUUGCUGAUACAAAAUGCCUGUUUUGCGGCAAUGCAGAUGAAGACGGGGCCCACCUGUUCAUUAAGUGCAAAAUGGUCAAGGGUGGAUGGAGAGAGCUGGCCAUGGAGGGGGAGCGUCGUGCUCUUGAGCGUAUAACGGGCGUGCAUGCAACCAUGGAUUUCCUAUGGGGGAUGGAUAUAAAAAAGCACCUCUUGGUGCUUACGUAUUGGCGGUUAUGGUGGACCAACCGGAACAAACUCCAAGAAGGGAUUCUACCUGCUGCAGCUGACGAGUUGGCUAGAAGGGCUAAAAGUAGUGUCACCGAGUUCAUGUAG
This 492-nucleotide ribosomal RNA is filed under the name Triticum aestivum (bread wheat). RNAcentral describes it as "partial small subunit ribosomal RNA". The record is from RNAcentral. Lineage: Eukaryota; Viridiplantae; Streptophyta; Magnoliopsida; Poales; Poaceae.